UUACACAUGCAAGUCGAACGGUAACAGGGAGCUUGCUCCCCUGACNAGUGGGGAACGGGUGAGUAAUGCAUCGGAACGUGCCNAGUAGUGGGGGAUAACGCCNCGAAAGUUGGGCUAAUACCGCAUACCUACUGACGUACAAAGGGGGGGACCUUCGGGCCUUCCGCUAUUCGAGCGGCCGAUGUCUGAUUAGGUAGUUGGUGAGGUAAAGGCUCACCUANGCGACGAUCAGUAGCUGGUCUGANAGGAUGAUCCGCCACACUGGGACUGAGACACGGCCCANACUCCUACAGGAGGCAGCAGUGGGGAAUUUUGGACAAUGGGCGAAAGCCUGAUCCCCCCAUGCCGCGUGGCUGANGAAGGCCUUCGGGUUGUAAANNACUUUUGUCNUGGAGGAAAAGCNNAGGGGUAAUACCUCNGAGUCAUGACGGUACCACAAGAAUAANCNCCGGCUAACUACNUGCC
RNAcentral lists this ribosomal RNA (465 nucleotides) under uncultured bacterium. RNAcentral describes it as "partial 16S ribosomal RNA". It matches the Rfam family "Bacterial small subunit ribosomal RNA", at positions 49 to 509 of the family's 1533-position model. The record is from RNAcentral.